AGAUCGGACUUUGGCCAAUUGAUCUGACCACUUAACAGAAAGACUCGACUAAGUCAUCAUAUUAUGAAUAAUAAUUUCAAUAGCAGAUGAGCAACAGAACUUUAGGCCUCCAAUGAUCAUCAUACUAAUAGAUCCAUUAUCACCCAACUUAAUGGGAGGCUAUGAUAGUUAUCACCAUAACUAACUUAUUUUAAGAAACCUAAUAAUUUGAAGGAUUUAGUUAUGAUUUAAGAGUAAAAAAGAAAAGAGAUCAAUCAGCAAACCACAAUCCUUCUACUGAUUUCAGCAAGUCAUUGCAUCAGAUUAGGGUCAUGUUGAUCGAACUGGCACCUAGAUCACUCACACUGAUCAACCUUAAUAGUAUGGGUUAACUCGAAUCACUUAGCGAUCUAAUCAAAAUAUAAUUCAUCAAAUUGAUCAAAUAAGUGAGAUCGAUGAGAGGAUCUACUAAGCUUGCCUUAGACAUAUCGAAAUGGCC
RNAcentral lists this long non-coding RNA (478 nucleotides) under Elaeis guineensis (African oil palm). RNAcentral's name for it is "long non-coding RNA (EGUI_LNC048566)". Lineage: Eukaryota; Viridiplantae; Streptophyta; Magnoliopsida; Arecales; Arecaceae. The record is from RNAcentral.